GACGAACGCUGGCGGCGUGCUUAACACAUGCAAGUCGAACGGAAAGGCCCUGCUUUUGUGGGGUGCCCGAGUGGCGAACGGGUGAGUAACACGUGAGUAACCUGCCCUUGACUUUGGGAUAACUUCAGGAAACUGGGGCUAAUACCGGAUAGGAGCUCCUGCUGCAUGGUGGGGGUUGGAAAGUUUCGGCGGUUGGGGAUGGACUCGCGGCUUAUCAGCUUGUUGGUGGGGUAGUGGCUUACCAAGGCAUUGACGGGUAGCCGGCCUGAGAGGGUGACCGGCCACAUUGGGACUGCGAGACGGCCCAGAGUCCUACGGGGGGCAGCAGUGGGGAAUAUUGCACAAUGGGAGGAAGCCUGAGGCAGCAGCGCCGCGUGCGGGAUGACGGCCUUCGGGUUGUAAACCGCUUUCGCCUGUGACGAAGCGUGAGUGACGGUAAUGGGUAAAGAAGCACCGGCUAACUACGUG
This 468-nucleotide ribosomal RNA is filed under the name uncultured bacterium. RNAcentral's name for it is "partial 16S ribosomal RNA". It matches the Rfam family "Bacterial small subunit ribosomal RNA", at positions 28 to 507 of the family's 1533-position model. The record is from RNAcentral.